CAAUAGCGUAUAUUAAAGUUGUUGCAGUUAGAACGCUCGUAGUCGGAUUUCGGGGCGGGGCGACCGGUCUGCCGAUGGGUAUGCACUGGUCGGCGCGUCCUUCCUUCCGGAGACCGUUCCUACUCUUAACUGAGCGGGGGCGGGAGACGGAUCGUUUACUUUGAAAAAAUCAGAGUGUUUCAAGCAGGCAGCUCGCUCUUGCAUGGAUUAGCAUGGGAUAAUGAAAUAGGACUUUGGUGCUAUUUUGUUGGUUUCGAACAUCGAAGUAAUGAUUAAAAGGGACAGUCAGGGGCACUCGUAUUCCGCCGAGAGAGGUGAAAUUCUCAGACCAGCGGAAGACGAACCACUGCGAAAGCAUUUGCCAGGGAUGUUUNCACUGA
This 380-nucleotide ribosomal RNA is filed under the name uncultured eukaryote. RNAcentral's name for it is "partial 18S ribosomal RNA". It matches the Rfam family "Eukaryotic small subunit ribosomal RNA", at positions 592 to 976 of the family's 1831-position model. The record is from RNAcentral.